Oncorhynchus tshawytscha (Chinook salmon) is the source of this 2173-nucleotide long non-coding RNA. The record is from Ensembl. NCBI's taxonomy places the organism in Eukaryota, Metazoa, Chordata, Actinopteri, Salmoniformes, Salmonidae.
CCGAAGCAGCGCAAUCAUUUUUACGUAAUUAAUUUCAUUAUUCUUUUGGCCAAAUUUCAUAUACACAAAUGUAAAUUUACAAACAGAAAACCAAAUUUUCGUACCCUACAAAAAUAAAUUGAACUGUAUUUUAAGACGGUUAAAUGCUCUACUAACAAAAAAGCUGUUGGAAUUAGGAAGAUGAAGACAGAACCGUCAGAGACUCAAGACGGGAAUGACUCCCUGUUCAAUGGAACAGAUGCAUCACAGCUCAGCGUAAGAGGUGCCUCCCCUCCCUCCACUGAUGUUUUAAAGUCAAGUGAGGAGGAUGAAGAUGCACUUUCCUCUGCGACAAAAGCCAUAGAGACCAGAGCUUCAAAAAAGAGAAACAAAAAACAUCUCUGGCCCUAAAGCAGCAUAGAAACGGGGCAAAAGAAGGCCAUGCCUCUCUCCAUCCUCUCCCCCCUGGACACCCAGCCCUGCCAAAUCCAGAAAAAAAUGCUAAUCUAGCCACAUCUCUUAACAGUGGGUCAGCGAGGAGGAGUGAGGAUGAACCAGACCAAGAGCCUAAACUGUUCCCCCUCAAACCUGCCAGGACUCCAGGACACCAGCUAAACACUUCAAAGUACACCCCACUUGAGCUCUUCCAGCUGUUCUUCAGUAAUGACGUUGUUGAUACUCUGCUCAAAUACAAACAAGAAUGCCAAGAGAAGACAGGAACAGGGAUUUAAAGAACCAUGGAGAUCUGUAUCCAUGGAGGAAAUGUACAAAUACCUCAGCAUUGUAAUCUAUAUGGGUCUGCUGAAUGUGCACACUGUAUCAGACUACUGGGUCCCGAACAGGUUGUAUGGUAAUCCUUUUUGCUGUACAGUCAUGACCAUGACAAGAUUUUGGGCCAAUCACCUAUUCACUGCACUUGAGUGACCCAGCAGAGGGUGAGGAAAAUGACAAGAAGAAGGGCACUGCAGGGUACAAUCGGCUCAUGAGAAUCAAACCUCUCAAAGACCAGAUAUUGGAUGCAUGCAGGGACGUCUCCCAAUUCCAGAACCUUUCCAUUGACGAGUGCAUGGUGCACUCCAAGGCCCACCAAUGCCUCAAACAAUACAUGAAAUCCAAGCCCUACAGGCAUGGAUUCAAGGUCUAGUGUUUUAGCUGAUUCACGAAAUGGUUACACGUGCAACUUCAAUGUAUUUGUGGGCAAGAACCCAUCUGCUUCAGGAAAAGGGGAGUGCUAUGAUGCUUUCAUGAUCCUGUUGAAUGUCCCUUACUUGGGCACAGGGUACCACAUUUAUCUUUGAUAAAUAUUUCACCGGCGCAACUCUCUUCAGUGACCUGUACAAGAAGAAACUGGGAGCAUGUGAAAACCGUGUGGGCCUCUCUGGCAUCCAAGAGAACAGCAUUCCAUCCUAGAGCAAAGAGAGGAACCAUCCGCUGGCUUUGUGACGGGGAGCUGUUCUCCAAGUAGAUGGACGUAUGACCAGUCACCAUGUUCUGACAUUGCACUGAAAGGGGAUAUUCAAGAGGAGAGGGGGGAGGAGCAGGAUGAACAACAGAGUAAACAGUGAGUGGGAAAGCAGGGUGAAGAAGAAGAGGAGGCAGAAAAGGGUUCUGUCCUGUGCUCACUAAUGAUCCCAUCACUGUUGAGACAAGGGGUAAAGCUAGUGAGGGCAGGAGGGUCUAUCUUUUGUUCAUGAAAAAUACGAUUUGUCAGUGUGAGUCCAGCCAGGUGGCACUCUGCAUUAUACCAGUGGUGGAAAAAGUUCUAAAUUGUCAUACUAGAGUAAAAGUAAAGAUACCUUAAUAGAAAAUGACUCAAGUAAAAGUAAAAGUCCCCCAGUAAAAUACUACUUGAGUAAAAGUCUAAAAGUAUUUGGUUUUAAACAUACUUAAGUAUCAAAAGUAAAUGGAAUUGCUAAAUUGUAUUUAAGUAUCAAAAGUAAAAGUAUAAAUCAUUUCAACUUCCUUAUAUUCAGCAAACCAGACGGCACAAUUUUCUUGUUAUUUUUUUAUUUAUUUAUGAAUUUGUUAGGAAGAAUACUCUAUUGCCCUUGACGGAAUCAUUUUGCAAUUCUUUUAAAAUUAGCAACUUUGUAUUUAGUAUUUUGGACCUUUUUUCUCAUAAUUCUGAAAAUAUUGUUCACCGAUAUGCCUUGGGAUGGCCAUUUUGGACACUUCUCAGAUUGCCUGCUUUGGU